GGCGAACGCUGGCGGCGUGCUUAACACAUGCAAGUCGAACGGAAAGGCCCUGCUUUUGUGGGGUGCUCGAGUGGCGAACGGGUGAGUAACACGUGAGUAACCUGCCCUUGACUAUGGGAUAACUUCAGGAAACUGGGGCUAAUACCGGAUAGGAGCUCCUGCUUCAUGGUGGGGGUUGGAAAGUUUCGGCGGUUGGGGAUGGACUCGCGGCUUAUCAGCUUGUUGGUGGGGUAGUGGCUUACCAAGGCUUUGACGGAUAGCCGGCCUGAGAGGGUGACCGGCCACAGUGGGACUGAGAUACGGCCCAGACUCCUACGGGAGGCAGCAGUGGGGAAUAUUGCACAAUGGGCGGAAGCCUGAUGCAGCAACGCCGCGUGCGGGAUGACGGCCUUCGGGUUGUAAACCGCUUUCGCCUGUGACGAAGCGUGAGUGACGGUAAUGGGUAAAGAAGCACCGGCUAACUACGUG
This 468-nucleotide ribosomal RNA is filed under the name uncultured bacterium. RNAcentral's name for it is "partial 16S ribosomal RNA". It matches the Rfam family "Bacterial small subunit ribosomal RNA", at positions 28 to 507 of the family's 1533-position model. The record is from RNAcentral.